This 451-nucleotide ribosomal RNA is filed under the name uncultured bacterium. Its description in RNAcentral is "partial 16S ribosomal RNA". It matches the Rfam family "Bacterial small subunit ribosomal RNA", at positions 29 to 523 of the family's 1533-position model. The record is from RNAcentral.
AGCGAACGCUGGCGGCGUGCUUAACACAUGCAAGUCGAACGAAGGCUUCGGCCUUAGUGGCGGACGGGUGAGUAACGCGUGGGAAUCUACCUUACGGUGGGGAAUAACAGCGGGAAACUGCUGCUAAUACCGCAUACGUUCUACGGAAGAAAGGCUUCGGCCGCCGUUUGAGGAUCCCGCGUCCGAUUAGCUAGUUGGUGAGGUAACGGCUCACCAAGGCGACGAUCGGUAGCUGGUCUGAGAGGAUGAUCAGCCACACUGGGACUGAGACACGGCCCAGACUCCUACGGGAGGCAGCAGUGGGGAAUAUUGGACAAUGGGGGAAACCCUGAUCCAGCGACGCCGCGUGAAUGAUGAAGGCCUUAGGGUUGUAAAGUUCUUUCGUCCGUGACGAUGAUGACAGUAGCGGAAGAAGAAGCUCCGGCUAACUUCGUGCCAGCAGCCGCCGCAG